This 422-nucleotide ribosomal RNA is filed under the name uncultured Glomeraceae. Its description in RNAcentral is "SSU rRNA". It matches the Rfam family "Eukaryotic small subunit ribosomal RNA", at positions 459 to 886 of the family's 1831-position model. Lineage: Eukaryota; Fungi; Glomeromycota; Glomeromycetes; Glomerales; Glomeraceae. The record is from RNAcentral.
GGGAGGUAGUGACAAUAAAUAACAAUACGGGGUUCUUAAGGAUCUCGUAAUUGGAAUGAGUACAAUUUAAAUCUCUUAACGAGGAACAAUUGGAGGGCAAGUCUGGUGCCAGCAGCCGCGGUAAUUCCAGCUCCAAUAGCGUAUAUUAAAGUUGUUGCAGUUAAAAAGCUCGUAGUUGAAUUUCGGGAUCAAUUUGUUGGUCGUGCCUCGGUACGUACUGGCAUUAUUGGUUUCUACCUUCUGAAGAACCUUGAUGUCAUUAAUUUGGUGUUGCGGGGAAUCAGGACUGUUACUUUGAAAAAAUUAGAGUGUUUAAAGCAAGCAAGCGCUUGAAUACAUUAGCAUGGAAUAAUGAAAUAGGACGUUUGAUCCUAUUUUGUUGGUUUCUAGGAUUGACGUAAUGAUUAAUAGGGAUAGUUGGG